Seriola aureovittata is the source of this 797-nucleotide long non-coding RNA. RefSeq lists it as uncharacterized. The transcript is spliced from 4 exons. The record is from RefSeq and is a predicted model, not a curated record. NCBI's taxonomy places the organism in Eukaryota, Metazoa, Chordata, Actinopteri, Carangiformes, Carangidae.
GUCCGGGCAGAGAAACGGGAACAACGGACUGAGAAAGGCGCUGACAAAUCUGUGGAGACAAAACAAAUGUUGUCAAGGAAAAGUAAAAAGGAAAACAGCAGCAAAGCUUCCAACACAUCGCUCCUGAAGGCAGCUGGACUCACAGGUGUGUAAUGUUCAUCUGUCUGGGAAGCAGCUCGAGCAAACACUGAACCGAGGGACAAGAAGUCCUUGAAGUGCUGAAAAAAUGCAGAUAGCUGCUGUUGAAGAUCAUGCGAUACAACCAAAAGCUCCAGGACAGCAAUCAAAUGGCCAUGGAGGUUCCAGGAUUUCUUUCCAUCACUCACACCGGAGAUAAACUCACUGAGGGAGGAAGUUCAGAGGACUUAAUAAAGCGGAUUGGGAGACAUCAUUCUCUUUAUCUCUUUGCCAAACAUGAAAUCACCCCAUUACCAAACCCUGUUAUCACUGAUCCUUUACUGUAAGACUCACUGUGCUGCCGUCCAUUAUUACACAACAUCUGGACUGACACAUUCUUAACAAUACCAAAGUCAUAAAUACAGUAUGUUGUCAACACCUGCUCAUGUUCAACUAUUCCAACUUUUCAUCAUUCCUGCCUUUUUUUGUUUUGUUAAGAGGAUUUACUGACUUAUUGUUGUCGUCUCCACUCCCUGUGGAUUAAAGAUAUUGUUCAUUGUUAUCUCUGAGUGUAUCCAGUCGGAGCCCAGUGGUUAUGACACAUACUGUAAUUUUUCUGCUGGUGUUUGCUGUCUUUAUCUUCGCUCUCUGUCCAGUAAAGGUGAAAAGUCCAACAAACA